GACGAACGCUGGCGGCGUGCUUAACACAUGCAAGUCGAACGGAAAGGCCCUGCUUUUGUGGGGUGCUCGAGUGGCGAACGGGUGAGUAACACGUGAGUAACCUGCCCUUGACUUUGGGAUAACUUCAGGAAACUGGGGCUAAUACCGGAUAGGAGCUCCUGCUGCAUGGUGGGGGUUGGAAAGUUUCGGCGGUUGGGGAUGGACUCGCGGCUUAUCAGCUUGUUGGUGGGGUAGUGGCUUACCAAGGCUUUGACGGGUAGCCGGCCUGAGAGGGUGACCGGCCACAUUGGGACUGAGAUACGGCCCAGACUCCUACGGGAGGCAGCAGUGGGGAAUAUUGCACAAUGGGCGGAAGCCUGAUGCAGCAACGCCGCGUGCGGGAUGACGGCCUUCGGGUUGUAAACCGCUUUCGCCUGUGACGAAGCGUGAGUGACGGUAAUGGGUAAAGAAGCACCGGCUAACUACGUGCCAGCAGCCGCGGUGAUACGUAGGGUGCGAGCGUUGUCCGGAUUUAUUGGGCGUAAAGGGCUCGUAGGUGGUUGAUCGCGUCGGAAGUGUAAUCUUGGGGCUUAACCCUGAGCGUGCUUUCGAUACGGGUUGACUUGAGGAAGGUAGGGGAGAAUGGAAUUCCUGGUGGAGCGGUGGAAUGCGCAGAUAUCAGGAGGAACACCAGUGGCGAAGGCGGUCCUCUGGGCCUUUCCUGACGCUGAGGAGCGAAAGCGUGGGGAGCGAACAGGCUUAGAUACCCUGGUAGUCCACGCUGUAAACGGUGGGUACUAGGUGUGGGGUCCAUUCCACGGGUUCCGUGCCGUAGCUAACGCUUUAAGUACCCCGCCUGGGGAGUACGGCCGCAAGGCUAAAACUCAAAGGAAUUGACGGGGCCCCGCACAAGCGGCGGAGCAUGCGGAUUAAUUCGAUGCAACGCGUAGAACCUUACCUGGGUUUGACAUGGAUCGGGAGUGCUCAGAGAUGGGUGUGCCUCUUUUGGGGUCGGUUCACAGGUGGUGCAUGCCUGUCGUCAGCUCGUGUCGUGAGAUGUUGGGUUAAGUCCCGCAACGAGCGCAACCCUUGUUCACUGUUGCCAGCACGUUAUGGUGGGGACUCAGUGGAGACCGCCGGGGUCAACUCGGAGGAAGGUGGGGAUGACGUCAAGUCCUCAUGCCCCUUAUGUCCAGGGCUUCACGCAUGCUACAAUGGCUGGUACAGAGAGUGGCGAGCCUGUGAGGGUGAGCGAAUCUCGGAAAGCCGGUCUCAGUUCGGAUUGGGGUCUGCAACUCGACCUCAUGAAGUCGGAGUCGCUAGUAAUCGCAGAUCAGCAACGCUGCGGUGAAUACGUUCCCGGG
RNAcentral lists this ribosomal RNA (1343 nucleotides) under uncultured bacterium. RNAcentral describes it as "16S ribosomal RNA". It matches the Rfam family "Bacterial small subunit ribosomal RNA", at positions 28 to 1378 of the family's 1533-position model. The record is from RNAcentral.